Gambusia affinis (western mosquitofish) is the source of this 1379-nucleotide long non-coding RNA. RefSeq lists it as uncharacterized. The transcript is spliced from 3 exons. The record is from RefSeq and is a predicted model, not a curated record. NCBI's taxonomy places the organism in Eukaryota, Metazoa, Chordata, Actinopteri, Cyprinodontiformes, Poeciliidae.
ACAUGUGGACUGCUUCGACUCGUCGGAGGAUGCUUGCCGGCUCUCUGCUCGUGUGCUCUCGCUGCUCCGAUCAUGCAUCUGCUUUACUAAAGUGGGAUAAAAAAUACAUAUAUAUAUACAUAUAUAUAUAUAAAAUGUGUUUCUUUCACUCGCUCGCAAAUGUGGACUGGUUUUUGAGACAGGGGCUCGGAGACAGAAGCGGGCUGGAGGGACGCUGCUAAGAGAGGUGCAAUCGCCGCAAAGAUGUUUUUCUUAGACGCUCCAGCAGACAGGAAUCCACUGGCAAGAAGAAAGCCCCGGUCUUCCCCACGAGAGCAAGAGUACAAAGCCCCCCAGUCUGCACACAGCAGAUGCAGGGAAAGCUAGUCCAUCUGCCACCAGCUUGCCGAGCCACAUGGGCCUGAGAGCGUUAAUGCAAGCGGAGUGAGGUGUUUAUUCCCUCCAUGGCUCCUCUUCUGGGGGUUUCUGCUACCAAGGUCAGGGGAUACAAGCAAGCCCACCAGCGCACUGAUGAGGUGGCAGCAGAAAAACGGGGGAGAGAAACAGACAUGUGGAGUGGGUACAGCGAGGAGGGUGGGGGUGGCAGCUGGUUACCAACCUUGGCAAGAGCAGCAGGAGCGUCAUGACAACGGAAGCGGAGGAUGUUGACUUCCAUUUCAUCUCAACGCAGCGAUUUCAGCGGUUUGCACACAACUACAGAGACUUUUGAAACCAUCCAUUUUCAAUCAAGGUUGGGACAAAGUGAAUUGCUUUGGGGUAAUUAGAUAAAGACAGGCAGAGUUGGUUUACGUAUCCCUUCAUCACACAAGAUGGUGAGAAGAAUAGCUUGAGAGUUGUUGUUUGACAUUAAACUGACUAAUCUCCGGGUACUCUGAGCAUUAGGGAUAUUUCAAGUUGCACCUAGAAACUGGACAAUGAUUGAGGUCGACAUUUUUUUCAACUUAAUUGGCUUUGAGCAGUAGUUCUUUGGAUGCACAAAUAAAAAUUUCCAGCACUGAAUGAACCAUACAACACUAGCAGGUUGUGAUGUCAAACACUCUUCAGUGUGGACACUGUGACACAGUGAAGACUUAAAUAUGGCCAUUUUCCACAAGAGUGAGGUCUUUGAAGAUGAAAUCAAAUGAAAGACUAAAGCUGUUGGAAAAUAUUUAAAAGGGAAAUAUUUCCCCGAUUUGCCUGCUGUUUAUUCAGGCUGUCACAAAAUAAUUGCUUUGUUUAUCUAUUUUACAAAUUUAAAAGUCAAUUAAGAGUCUAUUUUCUUUAGGAGUGAAGGAUAAACCCAACGGUUAACAGCACCUUGCACACAGUCUUGUUCUAUAAUGCUAUAACAAUUAGUUGUCUUUGUGACGUCACCUCUGCUUCUUCAAUAAAUAAUUACA